RNAcentral lists this long non-coding RNA (1052 nucleotides) under Mus musculus (house mouse). RNAcentral describes it as "macrophage M2 polarization regulator". The record is from RNAcentral. Lineage: Eukaryota; Metazoa; Chordata; Mammalia; Rodentia; Muridae.
GCAGUGAUGGGCCUCCCUGGCGGGCCGUCAUGGCGGACGCCACGACGGGCUCCCAUAGUUGGUUCUUUUCGGCCCGCGCGCCACCACCCUACGUGUUCACAAACGGUUACCACACACGGAGCUGCCCCUCCCUUCUUCCCCAAACCCAUCCUUGGAGGCCACUUUUUCUUUCUUCCCUCUCUGAUCUGCUCACGGUAAGGGGGGUAGCGAAAGACGAGCACUUGACCCGGGGUGGCACUGAGCAGCCGACCCGCGCAUCUCAGCAGCCGCCCUGCCUCCUUGAACUUCAGAGAGGGGAGAGCUCAGUUGCUAAGUUUUAAGAACUGCCUUCGUAGAAAGGUCAUGUGGUGUCAGGGAGGUCAUGACUGAUCGCGUCCAUGAGGACAUCCUAUUCUUGGAGUCCUUUGCAUAGACUGUUUCCGUGGCCUGGGACUACAAUUUGGGAUUUUUUCUGGACCUUACAGGAAUCAUGACUGGCAUUUUGGAUUGCGGUCCUGUAGGGUUUCAUUAGUGGUCUUAAACGACCAUGUUCUGGCAGAAUACUGAUAAUUUUGGUAGCGUGCAAUGGGGGAAACAAGUCCGCUGUAGGAAGAAAUUAUUCAAUAAAAGAAUUUCAGUUUGUGGUACUUAGGAAUGGAAAUCGCUGAGCGUUCCAACAGAGACUUUGUUAGGGUUUUUUUUCUCCUCUCUCAUGACGAAAAUAGACUGGUUAGGUUUUGCUUUUUUUUAAUUUUAUUUAUCUUUGCAUUUACACUACAUACUGUACUGGUAUAUUUGUUGUAAGAUCAAACAAGUAAGAUUUCUUUUUGUAUGGAUUAUGAGGUUUUUGAGAAAGUAUUUCUUCCUGAGAGAGUAGCCAAGAUUAAUAGGAUUGUUUUCUUAUUCAACAUGCUAUUUCCAUUUUUAGAGUGGAGUACACUUCCCCUCCCAAUAAACACUUGCUGAAUGUCAGCUCAUAAAUUGAAUGAUCUAGUUGGUUCAGUUAAAAUGUAACCCGACUUUUGAGGUGUAAAGCAACAUCCACAAACAACUAGAAUAAAAAUAAAAAUGGA